CAGAGGGUGCAAGCGUUGUUCGGAAUUACUGGGCGUAAAGCGCGUGUAGGUGGCGAUGUAAGUCGGGUGUGAAAUCCCUCAGCUUAACUGAGGAAGUGCACUCGAUACUGUGUCGCUUGAGUGUUGGAGGGGAUGGCGGAAUUCCCGGUGUAGAGGUGAAAUUCGUAGAUAUCGGGAGGAACACCUGUGGCGAAGGCGGCCAUCUGGACAACUACUGACACUGAGACGCGAAAGCGUGGGUAGCAAACAGGAUUAGAUACCCUGGUAGUCCACGCUGUAAACGAUGAGUGCUAGACGUCAUGGGUAUUGACCCCUGUGGUGUCGAAGUUAACACGUUAAGCACUCCGCCUGGGGAGUACGGUCGCAAGAUUA
Molecule: ribosomal RNA, 372 nt
Filed under: uncultured organism
Description: bacterial SSU rRNA
Rfam family: Bacterial small subunit ribosomal RNA
Source: RNAcentral